GAUGAACGCUGGCGGCGUGCUUAACACAUGCAAGUCGAACGAUGAAGCCCAGCUUGCUGGGUGGAUUAGUGGCGAACGGGUGAGUAACACGUGAGUAACCUGCCCUUGACUCUGGGAUAAGCCUGGGAAACUGGGUCUAAUACUGGAUAUGACUUCUCAUCGCAUGGUGGGGGGUGGAAAGAUUUAUUGGUCUUGGAUGGACUCGCGGCCUAUCAGCUUGUUGGUGAGGUAAUGGCUCACCAAGGCGACGACGGGUAGCCGGCCUGAGAGGGUGACCGGCCACACUGGGACUGAGACACGGCCCAGACUCCUACGGGAGGCAGCAGCGGGGAAUAUUGCACAAUGGGCGCAAGCCUGAUGCAGCGACACCGCGUGAGGGAUGACGGCCUUCGGGUUGUAAACCUCUUUCAGUAGGGAAGAAGCGAGAGUGACGGUACCUGCAGAAGAAGCGCCGGCUAACUACGUG
RNAcentral lists this ribosomal RNA (466 nucleotides) under uncultured bacterium. RNAcentral describes it as "partial 16S ribosomal RNA". It matches the Rfam family "Bacterial small subunit ribosomal RNA", at positions 28 to 507 of the family's 1533-position model. The record is from RNAcentral.